Molecule: ribosomal RNA, 501 nt
Filed under: uncultured bacterium
Lineage: Bacteria
Description: partial 16S ribosomal RNA
Rfam family: Bacterial small subunit ribosomal RNA
Source: RNAcentral
AUUGAACGCUGGCGGCAGGCUUAACACAUGCAAGUCGAGCGGGGGAAGGUAGCUUGCUACCGGACCUAGCGGCGGACGGGUGAGUAAUGCUUAGGAAUCUGCCUAUUAGUGGGGGACAACAUCUCGAAAAGGAUGCUAAUACCGCAUACGUCCUACGGGAGAAAGCAGGGGAUCUUCGGACCUGGCGCUAAUAGAUGAGCCUAAGUCGGAUUAGCUAGUUGGUGGGGUAAAGGCCUACCAAGGCGACGAUCUGUAGCGGGUCUGAGAGGAUGAUCCGCCACACUGGGACUGGGACACGGCCCAGACUCCUACGGGAGGAAGCAGUGGGGAAUAUUGGACAAUGGGGGGAACCCUGAUCCAGCCAUGCCGCGUGUGUGAAGAAGGCCUUAUGGUUGUAAAGCACUUUAAGCGAGGAGGAGGCUACUUUAGUUAAUACCUAGAGAUAGUGGACGUUACUCGCAGAAUAAGCACCGGCUAACUCUGUGCCAGCCGCCGCCGUAA